GGUAAUACCGAAUACGAUAGCUGGACUGUGGUCUGGUUAUGAAAAGCGCCUUGGCGCCGUCUUAAGAAUGAGGCCCGCGUCCCAUUAGCUAGUUGGGGGUGUAAAGGACCACCAAGGCGAAGAUGGGUAGCCGGCCUGAGAGGGGUGAACGGCCACAUUGGGACUGAGAUACGGCCCAAACUCCUACGGGAGGCAGCAGCUAAGAAUAUUCCACAAUGGACGAAAGUCUGAUGGAGCGACGCCGCGUGGAUGAGGAAGGCCGAAAGGUUGUAAAAUCCUUUUGCCGAUGAAGAAUAAGUGCGGUAGGGAAUGACCGCAUGAUGACGUUAGUCGGUGAAUAAGCCCCGGCUAAUUACGUGCCAGCAGCCGCGGUAACACGUAAGGGGCAAGCGUUGUUCGGAAUUAUUGGGCGUAAAGGGCGCGUAGGCGGUCAAUUAAGUCUGAUGUGAAAACUCUAGGCUCAACCUGGAGCGUGCAUUGGAAACUGGCGCUGACUUGAGUCAUAGAGGGGAAAUCGGAAUUCCUGGUGUAGGGGUGAAAUCUGUAGAUAU
RNAcentral lists this ribosomal RNA (551 nucleotides) under uncultured bacterium. RNAcentral describes it as "bacterial SSU rRNA". It matches the Rfam family "Bacterial small subunit ribosomal RNA", at positions 162 to 697 of the family's 1533-position model. The record is from RNAcentral.